Long non-coding RNA from Bos taurus (domestic cattle), 1919 nucleotides. The record is from Ensembl. NCBI's taxonomy places the organism in Eukaryota, Metazoa, Chordata, Mammalia, Artiodactyla, Bovidae.
GGGGACUGCCUGCAGGCUGGGCCUGGCUGCUCAGGUGGGGGAGGGGAUGCCAGCCAGACCUGCUGGGAGGGGAAGCAGAGACCCAGGCCUGGUUUCCCACCAGUUCUAGGUCAGGAUCACGCUGGGUCCCCUGAGCUGAUGUCAGGGCGUUGCUUCUGGAGGGUCUGCUCCUGCCUUUCCCGGCGUCUUGAGGUCGCCCAGAGUCCUUGGCUUGUGGCUCCUGCCUACGUCUCCUAAGUGAGUCCUCCUCCAACGUCUCCUUCUGACCCCGCCCCUCCUGUCCCCCGUCAUAGGGACUCACCAGGUUACCCCGGAUAACCUCCCACUCUUCGCAUCCUCUUCACAUCCUCAACUCCGCCACGUCCCGCUCGCCACGUAAGUCACGUGGUUGCAGGUGCCGCAGGUUAGGACGUUCGCAGCUUUAGGCCACAGAGGGCGAGGCUUGGCCCCAGUGAUGGCUCCUCCCGGGCUCCCCCUGGAGGCCAUGGCAACUGGGUUAGUGGUUGCAGCCGCUGAGGCCGAGCCCGGGGCUGCCCGGGGCCGAGGCAGGGUGCUGGGCGUGCUCCGGCAUCCAGGCAGGGAAACAGACGGACACAGCACGGAGAAACUGCGGUCAGGGCAUACGUGCACCCAAAGUCACGGCAACUGAGCUGGGAUUUAAUGCAUGUCGGGAAAAAGCUCUCAGGAGGGAAACGAAGAACUUUCUGAAAGCUCUCAUAGGGCUUCCCUUAUGACUCAGCGGUGAGGAGGCUGCCUGCCAACGCAGGGGAUGCAGGUUUGAUCCCUGGUCUGGGAAGAUGCCACAGGCCGCCGAGCAACUGGGCCAGCGCACCGCAACUACUGAGCCUGCGCUCUGGAGCCCGGCAACCGCAAGGACUGAGCCCACGCGCAGCAACUAUGGAGGCCGCACACCCAGUGCCGGGCCCUGUCCUAAGAGAAGCCACUGCAGUGAGAAGCCAGCGCACCGCAACUGGAGAGCAGCCCCCGCUCACCGCCACCGGAGGAAGCAACCAAGACCCGGCACAGCCAAACAUAAAUAAAUUAAUCUUUUAAAAAAAGCUCUCAGUUGUUAAAUACUAAAAUAUGUUAUUUCUAAGUCCAUCCAUUAUAAAUUUCCCCCUGAACGAUUCCCAGGUAAUAUUAUCAGCAACAAAUUAUAAACAACUAUAAAACGGCUCAAGAAGAGAAUAUAUAUUACAGGAGUCCCCUUUUUUUUUUUUUUGGGGCAGAGAGGCUUGAGGGAUCUUAGUUCCUAGACCAGGGAUUGAACCCAGGUCCUGGUAGUGAGAGAAUGGAGCCUCUUGGGAAUGCUUAGCAAGCUGUCCUUUUGAAAUGAGAGCUACCAGAUGGGAUACAGCAAAAGUAUUGGAGCUUCAGCUUCAGCAUCAGUCCUUCCAAGGAAUAUUCAGGGUUGAUUUCCUUUAGGGUGGACUGGUUGGAUCUCCUUGCAGUCCAAGGGACUCUCAAGAGUCUUCCCCAGCACCACAGUUGGAAAGCAACAACUCUUUGGCACUCAGCCUUCUUUAGGGUCCAACUGUCACAUUCUGGUAAGAUGGGGAUGAGAAGGCGGCCCAGGGAGAAAUCCCCCAAACUCCCACAGCGACUCAGUGGCAAAGAUGGGGUUUGAACUUGAAUUUGGAAACCCCAUGGACUGGACAGAGGAGCCUGGGGGGCUACGGUCCAUGCGGUCACAAAGAGUUGGACACGACUUAGCGACUAAACAAUGCCCGAAUCCAGGCCUUUGCUUCCCGGGCCCGUUCAUCAUCCAGCCAUGCCCCGGGUGGCAGCCCAGUAGGCAGUGGCCGAAGCCCAGCCAGGCACAGGGCUCAGAGGGGGCACCAGGCCAGCCGCAGCACGGUAGCAGCGGGCACUGAGUGUGGCGGCCUGCAUGGGCAUGACCCGUGCCAGCAGUAGGCAGC